UGCCAGCCGCCGCGGUAAUACGGAGGGGGUUAGCGUUGUUCGGAAUUACUGGGCGUAAAGCGCACGUAGGCGGACUGGAAAGUAUGGGGUGAAAUCCCAGGGCUCAACCCUGGAACUGCCUCAUAAACUAUCAGUCUAGAGUUCGAGAGAGGUGAGUGGAAUUCCGAGUGUAGAGGUGAAAUUCGUAGAUAUUAGGAAGAACACCAGUGGCGAAGGCGGCUCACUGGCUCGGUACUAACGCUGAGGUGCGAAAGCGUGGGGAGCAAACAGGAUUAGAUA
RNAcentral lists this ribosomal RNA (279 nucleotides) under uncultured bacterium. Its description in RNAcentral is "partial 16S ribosomal RNA". It matches the Rfam family "Bacterial small subunit ribosomal RNA", at positions 506 to 784 of the family's 1533-position model. The record is from RNAcentral.